This 642-nucleotide ribosomal RNA is filed under the name uncultured bacterium. Its description in RNAcentral is "bacterial SSU rRNA". It matches the Rfam family "Bacterial small subunit ribosomal RNA", at positions 1 to 617 of the family's 1533-position model. The record is from RNAcentral.
CCGAAUGCCCCAGAGCUUACAUUGAUCAUGGCUCAGAGUGCCCGGGGGGUAAUAGCCUAACACAUGCAAGUCGAACGGCAGCACAGGAGAGCUUGCUCUCUGGUGUGGCGAGUGGCGGACGGGUGAGGAAUACAUCGGAAUCUACUCUGUCGUGGGGGAUAACGUAGGGAAACUUACGCUAAUACCGCAUACGACCUACGGGUGAAAGCAGGGGAUCUUCGGACCUUGCGCGAUUGAAUGAGCCGAUGUCGGAUUAGCUAGUUGGCGGGGUAAAGGCCCACCAAGGCGACGAUCCGUAGCUGGUCUGAGAGGAUGAUCAGCCACACUGGAACUGAGACACGGUCCAGACUCCUACGGGAGGCAGCAGUGGGGAAUAUUGGACAAUGGGCGCAAGCCUGAUCCAGCCAUACCGCGUGGGUGAAGAAGGCCUUCGGGUAGUAAAGCCCUUUUGUUGGGAAAGAAAUCCAGCCGGCUAAUACCUGGUUGGGAUGACGGUACCCAAAGAAUAAGCACCGGCUAACUUCGUGCCAGCAGCCGCGGUAAUACGAAGGGUGCAAGCGUAUACUCGGAAUUACUGGGCGUAAAGCGUAGCGUAGGUAGGUCANUUAAGUCCGUGUGAAAGGCCCGGGGCUCCAAACCCUG